UUAUACUAAGUAUAAAGCAAUAAGAUGUGCAAAUACGAUGUCUAUGCGGAACUUUUAGAUUGGUUUCCUUGAUUUGUAGAUGUACAAUUUGUUUGUUUAAAAUGAUUGAACAAAGAUAAUUUUUCUUCACACGCCGCCUAACGCAUGGAGACCUUGAGUGUUGUCCAGCCACACGCAUGCCCCAUAAAAAGAAAAAGAUGAUUAGCAUGGAAAAUUGCUUCCAUAUUUUUGUCUUCU
This 237-nucleotide long non-coding RNA is filed under the name Setaria italica (foxtail millet). RNAcentral describes it as "long non-coding RNA (SITA_LNC002094)". The record is from RNAcentral. Lineage: Eukaryota; Viridiplantae; Streptophyta; Magnoliopsida; Poales; Poaceae.